GCAUGGGUUUAGGAAAAUUAGAAGAGAGUAAAUGGAUGGUGGUUAUAGAAUAAACUCUUUUAAGGAGUUUUUGCUAAUAAGGGGUAUUGAGAGGAAUGUGAGGCCAAAAAAGAGUUGUUUCUUUUUUUUUUUUUAAAGCAGUACAUGCCACUGCUGAUAGGAAUAAUCAUGGAGUGAUUCAUGAUACAGGAGAGAGGAAGACAAUAUCUGGAGUGGUUUUCCUGAGUGCACAAGGGGAAGGAUUGACUUUACAUAUCCCAAGACACUUCAUAUAAAUGAGCAGGAGGGAAUGCAGGGUCUAUGGGCACGUAGGUGACUGAAGAGUGAGAUAGAGAAUGUGAAGAAUAUGAGAUAAUAUAUACGGGGGCCUAACAAAUAGAAGGCAUACAAAUGUUAGUUCUCUUUGGACUUUUUUUUUAGCGUUAAUGCUAACAACCUGGAGCCACAGACAGCUGUUUUUACUAAUCAAUGGGUCGUUGAGAGCAGAAUUAUUUGGCUUUAGAAAAUUGUGCAAGGCAAAAUGUGGGUGGAAUAUGGAUACAUGUGGCAUAUUGGAUAGGAUUAUUUGGCUGUAUAUAAUUUAAAAAAACAAAGAAAACAAGACAGGGUUUCUUUUCCUCAUGUGAAAGCAGUCUAGAGGGGAGGAGGGGGAGAAUAGAGGCAGUAUUUGAAAAGAUUAUGGCUGAGAGUUUUUCAGAAUUGAUAAAAGGCGCUUAUCCACAGAUUCAGUAAACUUAGUGAAUCUCGAGAGGAAUAAUAAAAAGAACUCCAUAUCUCAACACAUCAUUAGUAGAACUGAGCAACACUAAAGACAAAGAGAACAAAAAUACCAGAUUACUUUCAAAGAAAAGGCAGUUAGGGAGACAGCUGACUUCCCAACAGCAACCAGAACUAGGGACAGAUGAAUGGCACUGUGAGUGGGAAGAAAAUAAUUCCUAACUUAGAAUUCUAUAGCCAGAGGAAAUAUCUUUCAAGAUUGAGGGUGAAAUAAAGACAUUUCCAAACAAAUACAUAAAUAAGCAAGCAAGCAAAUAAACAAAAACUGAGUUUUCCACCAAGAGAAUCUCAACAAAAGAAAUUCUGAAGGAUAUAUUUCAGGCCAAAGGAAAGUGAUAGAGGGUCUUGGAUACAAGAUAAAUUGAAGAGCAAAGCAAAUGGCAAAUAUGUGGGUAAAUCUAAAAAACACAAAGACAAAAAGCAAAAGUAAAAAAUGGACUGUAGAAACAGUGGGGUUAAAAACAGAGAAUCAAAAUUUAUGACAAAUGUAAUUCAAGAGAAGGGUAGAGCGAUAAAAAAUAUUUAAGGUCUUUGGAAAAGGAUUAUAAGCAUUGAUUAGCUUUAUACUUUGAUAAACUAAGCAGGUAUGUUGCAAUUCCUAGGGUAAAAACAACAAGAAACAGCAUUUAACUUCCAAACUAGGGCAAAGAAAAACAGGAAUUUUAAAAAGUAAUCAACAGAAAAAGAAAUAAAGGAGAAGAAAGGAAACAUUGACUAGGAAGGAUAAAUAGGAAGUAUGAAAUAUGAUAAACCCAAAUAUAUGUGUAUUUUAAUUAUUACAUUAAUUUUUUUUAAAGAUUUUAUUUUUUUCCCUUUUUCUCCCCAAAGCCCCCGGGUACAUAGUUGUGUAUUUUUUUGUUGUGGGUCCUUCUAGUUUUGGCAUGUGGGUGCCGCCUCAGCAUGGCUUGAUGAGUGGUGCCACAUCCGUGCCCAGGAUCCGAACCAGUGAAACCCUGGGCUGCUGAAGUGGAGCGUAUGAACUUGACCACUCGGCCAUGGGGCUGGCCCCUACAUUAAUUGUUAAUGGACUAAAUGUUCUCGUUAGAGGAAAAAUAUUGUCAAACUGGACAACAAAACAAAACCCAACUAAAUGAGGAUUAUAAGGAGCACAUCUAAGACACAAAGAUAGAGACAGACUGAAAAAGAAAUUAAGAACAAACCCUCUUGCAAAUACUAACCAAAAUAAAGUUAAUAUAGUACAGUAAUUAGAUUUUAGGACAAAAAGCAUUAAUAGUGAUGAAACAGGACUUUCAUAAUGAAGUUUUCGGUCCAUCAGGAAGAUAUGACAAGAUUGAAUUUGUAUCUAAUAAUAUAGCCUCAAAAUAAAAUAAAAGUUGACAUAACUAAAAGGAGAAAUAUACACAUCCACAAUCAUCCGAGGGACAUUUUAAAAUCCCUCUUUCAAUAAGUGAUAGAACAGAGGGAAAAUCAGUAUAGAUACACACAAUUUGAACAUGGUUAACAUAUCUAAUACACAAACAUAAAAUUCUGUGCCUAAUAACUGCAGAAUACAUGUUCUUUUCAAGCCCACAUGGAACAUUUACAAAAACUGACUAUAGAUUGGGCCACAAAACAACUCUCAGCAAAUUUCAAAGGAUUGAGAUAAUACAGAAUAAGUUUUCUGACCACAAUGUAGUUUAGGUAAAAAUCACUCACAAAGAGAUGGCUAGAAAAAAUCUUCUAUGUUUGGAAAUCAAGAAACACAUUUGUAAAAAACCCAUGGGUCAAAGAAACCACAUGGAAAUUAGAGAACAUUUUAACCUGAACGAUAAGAAAAACACUAACGUACAAGUUUGGUCUCAGGAUAAAGUCUAGGUAGAAGAUAGACUUUGGAUUAAACAGUUUAUGGGUAGCAACUGUAGAUAAGUGGAUGAAUUCAACCAAACAGUACACAUAGAAGGGCCAAUUAAUAGAACACUAAGAGGCACCAUCCUUUAAAAGGCCAGCAAAUAAGGAGGCGGUCAGGACAAUAAGGGGAGAUGAUCAGACAGUACCUCUGAGACCAGAGUAAGCAAGAACCCAGCCCUCGGCCCCCAUGUUGCAGGUAGAUUUGUGCUUUAGAUUGCCUUCUUCAAGACUGUCUAAAUCCUCCUCUAGUUCCUGGGGCAAAGCAAGGCACCCUGAGCCUGGAUUUGGUCCCACGUGGGGUCUAGUCGCCAGAAGUGCCUCUCUUGAAAUUUUCUAGGUCACGUUUUGGUGCCUAGGACAGGUGCCAUCUCUCCCCUUUGAGGCACUCUCCUACUCUCUAACCCAUGAUUGGUGUGGAUCAAAUUGGUCUGCCAGAAUGGUGUUUCAUGCUUUUAGGUGACUCUCAUAUUACAUACAAGAUGAAUUCAGGGUUCUGGGUCACUAAAUCUCACCAUUGACCUGGGGAUUGUGUUGUGUGUGUGGGGCUGUGCAUUAGCUCUCACUGGUCUGUGUUCCAACUGUGGUGCUGCCUCUGGUGUAGACCCCCAUGCUUGUGAGGGUGCUGGCAUUGUUCUUUACCCUGUUCACCUCCCACCACUGGCACCAGGGAGAUAACCCUACCCACCUCUGCAGGUUCUGCACCUUGUGUCAGGCCAGGCCCACUUCAUCUGAGACCUUUUAAAACUGUGCUCCACAAAGCCAACGGCCCUUCCAAUCAAUGUCCUCUCGUUUCCAAUGAUAGUGACAUUGUGCUCUCCAGGUUUGGACUUAAGUUAUACUGAUGAAGAAAUGGACAUUCCUCGCACAAAUGAAAAUGCUCUUCUUGCUCCACGCAUGGGCCUCUUGCCUGUGUUUCCCCGGUGUUGCCAAAAGAUCACGGUCUAGGAAUGCAGUAAUUACAGCCUAAAAAGUUCAGGAGAAGACAUGGUUGGACUAUGUGUUCUAUGUUUAUGCUCAAAAAGUCCAAAUGGAAAACAUAAUAUGACGAGAAAAUAAAUUUAUUAUUCACAUUUUCCUGCAUACUCUGGGUAAGACUUGCAUUUCUGGUAAUCACCAAUGAAGCACAGUAACCUUUGAGUCACUGGAAGCCAGUACUCACAGUGGCACAAUAGACACAGAAUCAUCAUAAUGAUGUAACCAGCAUUAAAUAAAUGGAAACUGUAGAGGCCAAGGUCUGUAUAGUUCACUACAAACAGGUUCAAAAGAGUCAUGGCAUUGUGAAUACUAACAGCAUUACUACUCUUUUAUCACAGUGGGAGAUAUGAAUUUAGCCAGGAAUGGCACAUUUGACAAUAAAGAACCUGAAGGGACUAUUUCCUAGGGCAGAGGAAGAAAUGGUGCCCAUAUCCUAUAAAGAAUCUAUAUGUGCACUGAUUGGGGAAUAAACACACACCUUCUCUCUACCCAUUGUUCUAAAUCUUCAUUGACAAGUCAUUUUAUCUUACUUGGGCCCAUGAAUUUUGUAAUACAUUUUUAAAUCAAAUUGUUUAUAUAGACAAUGGUCCUGUGAAAAAUAUUUGCCCUGUGGGCAGCCAUGAGCAAAGCAGGGCAGAACUAUGAGAAACCAGAAACCAUGAGAAUAGUACCUUGGAAGUGAUCAAAUAAAUACAGAAUGACAGAUCCAUUGGAUUGAGGGGUAGAAAACCACUGACACUACAGCCACUGGAGGUAGGGGAGAGAGAACAGAUUGCAGCAAGGUAAAUAGU
This 4391-nucleotide long non-coding RNA is filed under the name Equus caballus (horse). RNAcentral's name for it is "lncRNA (ENSECAG00000045393.1)". Lineage: Eukaryota; Metazoa; Chordata; Mammalia; Perissodactyla; Equidae. The record is from RNAcentral.